This 772-nucleotide ribosomal RNA is filed under the name Bacillus inaquosorum. RNAcentral's name for it is "bacterial SSU rRNA". It matches the Rfam family "Bacterial small subunit ribosomal RNA", at positions 45 to 799 of the family's 1533-position model. Lineage: Bacteria; Bacillati; Bacillota; Bacilli; Caryophanales; Bacillaceae. The record is from RNAcentral.
GGCCCUAUACAUGCAAGUCGAGCGGACAGAUGGGAGCUUGCUCCCUGAUGUUAGCGGCGGACGGGUGAGUAACACGAGGGUAACCUGCCUGUAAGACUGGGAUAACUCCGGGAAACCGGGGCUAAUACCGGAUGCUUGUUUGAACCGCAUGGUUCAAACAUAAAAGGUGGCUUCGGCUACCACUUACAGAUGGACCCGCGGCGCAUUAGCUAGUUGGUGAGGUAACGGCUCACCAAGGCAACGAUGCGUAGCCGACCUGAGAGGGUGAUCGGCCACACUGGGACUGAGACACGGCCCAGACUCCUACGGGAGGCAGCAGUAGGGAAUCUUCCGCAAUGGACGAAAGUCUGACGGAGCAACGCCGCGUGAGUGAUGAAGGUUUUCGGAUCGUAAAGCUCUGUUGUUAGGGAAGAACAAGUACCGUUCGAAUAGGGCGGUACCUUGACGGUACCUAACCAGAAAGCCACGGCUAACUACGUGCCAGCAGCCGCGGUAAUACGUAGGUGGCAAGCGUUGUCCGGAAUUAUUGGGCGUAAAGGGCUCGCAGGCGGUUUCUUAAGUCUGAUGUGAAAGCCCCCGGCUCAACCGGGGAGGGUCAUUGGAAACUGGGGAACUUGAGUGCAGAAGAGGAGAGUGGAAUUCCACGUGUAGCGGUGAAAUGCGUAGAGAUGUGGAGGAACACCAGUGGCGAAGGCGACUCUCUGGUCUGUAACUGACGCUGAGGAGCGAAAGCGUGGGGAGCGAACAGGAUUAGAUACCCUGGUAGUCCACG